This 1434-nucleotide long non-coding RNA is filed under the name Monodelphis domestica (gray short-tailed opossum). Its description in RNAcentral is "lncRNA (ENSMODG00000049707.1)". Lineage: Eukaryota; Metazoa; Chordata; Mammalia; Didelphimorphia; Didelphidae. The record is from RNAcentral.
CCAAUUGCCUAGCCUUACCAUUAUUAUUCCUUGGAACGUAUAUUUAAUAUUGAUUCCAAGAAAGAAGACAAGAAGAAAGAGAGAGAGAGGAGGAAGGAAGGAAGGAAGGAAGAGAGAGAGAGAGAGAGAGAGAGAGAGAGAGAAAGAGAGAAAGAGAGAAAGAGAGAAAGAGAGAAAGAGAGAAAGAGAGAAAGAGAGAAAGAGAGAAAGAGAGAAAGAGAGAAAGAGAGAAAGAGAGAAAGAAAGAAAGAAAGAAAGAAAGAAAGAAAGAAAGAAAGAAAGAAAGAAAGAAAGAAAGAAAGAAAGAAAGAAAGAAAGAAAGAAAGAAAGAAAGAAAGAAAGAAAGAAAGAAAGAAAGAAAGAAAGAAAGAAAGAAAGAAAGAAAGAAAGGAAGGAAGGAAGAAAGGAAGGGAGGAAGGGAGGGAGGGAGGGAGGGAGGGAGGGAGGGAGGGAGGGAGGGAGGGAAGGAAGGAGAAAGGGAGAAAGAAAAAGAGAGAAAGGCAACCUGGUACCAAAUUGUUAGAAGAACUUUCUAGACCACCUGGCCCCUUCCUCAACCAAGCCCUCCAUCUUCAUCAUUCGCACUCUUUAACAUCUUCUGUUCAUCUUUAUCCUGUGUGACAAGGAAAUCACUUUAAAAGACUGAUAUAUAUUAAUUUAAGGUCACCAAGGAAUUCAGCUAUGUAAUUCCUUAAUGAAAACUCAAGUCAGCAGUCAACCUUUUAUGGAGUUUAAUUACAAACAGGAGGAAGAAAGGUAUUAGAGAGAGAGAGAGAGAGAGAGAGAGAAAGGAAAAGGGCUUAAAUACCCCCCUGUCCUCAGACCCCGCUAUCUUUAAGGAAACCAUCCAAGUUCCCUCCCCUCAGUUCUCACAUCUACCAAUCACUGUCCAUGUCUUCCCUGUGCCAAUGGUGGCUCUAGCUUAACCCAGGACCGCCCAGAGGUCUGUGGCUUUGCACAUGUCUUUUGAAGGUCAUAUUCUCAAAUAAUUAAAUCUUGAUCCUUUGCUGCAGCCCUUCCUAAAUCCUGUUACCCUGAGUAGGGUGGAGAUUGGAAGUUCCAAGACCUGGUUCUGUCAUUCCAAGUAUCUCUAUUGUAUCAAUUCUAAAAUCAAUCAUGACUCAAAGAACUUCCUGUUCUAUGCUUAAGCAUAGGUCAAAGCCUAUUCCAUUGUUCAGCAAAAGGUUUCUGUCCUAAAGUAAUCUUAAGUAGGGAGGAGAAGGACCCUCCCAUGCCAAAGGGGGGUUCACAUUCCAAUAGACUAUCAGUAGGAAAUUUUUCAAGUAUGAAAUUUCCCAAUGGUGAAAUUUCCAACAUUUUUAAGUCUAAGAAAUUUUAAGGUUUACACCUGAUAAUCUGCUCUAGCCAGACCAAAAUAUUCAGAUUCAUGUGGAUCUGCAGACAUUUUUACAAAUAAAAAGUGCAUAUUCUACA